RNAcentral lists this ribosomal RNA (495 nucleotides) under uncultured bacterium. RNAcentral's name for it is "partial 16S ribosomal RNA". It matches the Rfam family "Bacterial small subunit ribosomal RNA", at positions 28 to 507 of the family's 1533-position model. The record is from RNAcentral.
GACGAACGCUGGCGGCGUGCCUAAUACAUGCAAGUAGAACGCUGAAGGAGGAGCUUGCUUCUCUGGAUGAGUUGCGAACGGGUGAGUAACGCGUAGGUAACCUGCCUGGUAGCGGGGGAUAACUAUUGGAAACGAUAGCUAAUACCGCAUAAUAUUGACUAUUGCAUGAUAGUCAGUUGAAAGGUGCAACUGCACCACUACCAGAUGGACCUGCGUUGUAUUAGCUAGUUGGUGGGGUAACGGCUCACCAAGGCGACGAUACAUAGCUGACCUGAGAGGGGGAUCGGCCACACUGGGACGGAGACACGGCCCAGACUCCUACGGGAGGCAGCAGUAGGGAAUCUUCGGCAAUGGACGGAAGUCUGACCGAGCAACGCCGCGUGAGUGAAGAAGGUUUUCGGAUCGUAAAGCUCUGUUGUAAGAGAAGAACGAGUGUGAGAGUGGAAAGCUCACACUGUGACGGUAUCUUACCAGAAAGGGACGGCUAACUACGUG